Molecule: long non-coding RNA, 1915 nt
Organism: Vespula vulgaris
Lineage: Eukaryota; Metazoa; Arthropoda; Insecta; Hymenoptera; Vespidae
Exons: 4
Source: RefSeq, a predicted model, not a curated record
AAUUAUCCCUUCAAAGGAUCGAUAAGGAAGCGGCUUCAGUAAGAGGAUAUAAUCGAUUGCGUUGGGAAAGGUUUUUCGAAGGAACGUCCAACGGUUCAUACGGAUCAUGGGUCAAAGUUGAAUUUUUGCUCUAAUGCGGGAACGUUCCUUCGUAGAAAAAUUAGGGACGAUAAGGAAAACCUUAGGGCGAUUAAUAGUGAUUCCGAAAAAGAUGUUAUGCGAAUCAAUAUUGAAGAAGAAGAAGAGGAUGAAGAUGAAGAAGAAGGAGAUACAGGGGAUGAAGUAGUAGAGGAGAUAUACUAAACUAACCGAAGACGACAGCAGUUCCAAUAGCGUGGAUGUAUUGCAAAGGAGCCGAAUUGACUUAUAUUUGAAUUGUAAUUCCAAAGAAAAACAACGCUCCACCAGAUAAUAAAACAUUGCACAUCCAAAGUGAAACACAUUUCCGUUGACACUUUCUGUUUCUCCGUACAUCUGACGAUACAUCCUACAUGGAUAGUACAAAUGCCAGACCAUCAACGAGAUUAAUAUAUGGAAACAUUUUCCUUUUUACAUUUAUGUUUAAAUGGAAAAUCAAUCAAUGCUGUGUUUAUUUAAUUGUAAGAUAUUUUAGAGAUCAUAUGCAGCCGAAGAAAGUAUUAUUAUUUAUAAGUGAAUUUAUCUCAAAUAUUCUAAAUGGUAUGAAUCCCAAAUUGGAGUAAUUAUCCGGUAACUUCUAUAAUAUGGAAAUGGUAUUUUCUAAUAAAUCUUAUACAAAUAUAGUGCUAAAUUUAAAGAAUAUUAAUGGAAUAAUAGAAUGAUUAGUGAUAAAGAUGUUUCAAUCGUUUCUAUUAUUUGUAAAGCUGUUGUUUGGCACGUAUGAUAGCUAGGGAUUAUUUAUCGUAUGAGACACACUUGCGUAUUACUGGGUCGAAAAUCACGGAAGGAAUGACUUACCCUAGUUUAAUUAGCCACAUGUUAGCUGGAUAGAAGACCAAGCUUCGUAAAAUCUAAUUCCCUAACUAGAACGCAUGGGGAUAAAUAAUUUCCCCUCUCCUAUAGUUAUGUAAUUAUAUGUAUAUAUAUUCUAUGUUCACGCGAAAUUAUCUGUGUAAUAUAUCUUGGAAUUUCCUAAUGAGAAUCUUACAAUAAUUCGUCUAUUUUUUAAUUGAAAUAAUCGUAUAAAACUGUAAUUAUUUAUGAUAUAAUUAACUAUUAUAAUAAUAAUUAUUGUAAUUAUCAAGACUAAUUAAUCGGAUAUUCAUAUAGGAAAUUCGCACUCUUACUUCUUUCGUAAGUCUACCUUAUACUUACUAGUUAUAUUUAAUAGAUUAAAUGUUUAUUUAUUGGAAAAGAGAUUGGAUUACAAUCUCGCUAAGUAGAUACAUGUCGAAGAACUUUAAACGGAAAUGAAAGUAGCUAAUUUUCUUACCGUAAAUAAUUUCUUCGAAGAAAAUGUAUAUUGGAGUAAAUUUUUUUCGAAUUUAAGUUUACCGUAAUAUAUCGAAAUAAAGAACGAACAUUUUCUUAUAAAUACAAAUAUAUGACUACAGCAACUAUUCCUAAACCCAACAAAAUAAUAAUUAAAAUGCUAUGAAUCAAGAGAAUCAAUUUCAUUUCUAUGAUAUAGAAAUGAAAUUUUCUACUAAAUCUAAUCGUUUUUAAGCCGUUUGUAUUAUUUGUAAAGCUGUUCUUUGGUACGUAUGACAACUAGGGAUUAUUUCGGGUAUGAGACACACUUGCGUAUUACUGGGUCGAAAAUCACGGAAGGAAUGACUUAUCCUAGUUAAAUUGGUCACGUCAUAACGAUAGAAGACCAAGCUUCCUAGAUUCUAAUUCUCUAACUAGAACGCAUGGGGAUAAAUAUUUCCCCUCUCCUAUAGUUACGUAAUUAUAUUUGUAUCUUUAUGUAAAUAUUAUACUCUAUGUCUCGUUA